RNAcentral lists this ribosomal RNA (253 nucleotides) under uncultured bacterium. RNAcentral describes it as "partial 16S ribosomal RNA". It matches the Rfam family "Bacterial small subunit ribosomal RNA", at positions 524 to 776 of the family's 1533-position model. The record is from RNAcentral.
UACGUGAGGGGCGAACGUUGUUCGGUGUCACUGGGCUUAAAGGGCGCGUAGGUGGUUGCGUAAGUAACGUGUGAAAUCCCUCGGCUUACCCGGGGAAUUGCAUGUUAUACUGCGUGACUUGAGGAUCAGAGGGGAAUGGGGAACUCCAGGUGUAGCGGUGAAAUGCGCAGAUAUCUGGGGGAAGGCCGGCGGCGAAGGCGCCAUUCUGGCUGAUUCCUGACACUGAGGCGCGAAAGCGUGGGGAGCAAACAGG